Equus caballus (horse) is the source of this 3417-nucleotide long non-coding RNA. The record is from Ensembl. NCBI's taxonomy places the organism in Eukaryota, Metazoa, Chordata, Mammalia, Perissodactyla, Equidae.
GAGGCCACAGGCUCGCUUCUCUCUGUCGAUGUCAUCCUGGACCAAGCCCGGGGGGCCGCGUUAUCACAAAUUACAUCUCCCUGGGCUGGCAUUAUCGUCUGAUUUCGAGCAAAUUACAGAAUUAAGGGGCGGGGGUGGCUGUGUCUGUUCUAUAUUUGGCACUAGCUUAUCAGCAGAGCUGCGAGAGCCUUCUGGAUUGUGCUCAAAAACCUGAUGAAGGUCGUUGGGCCAGAAUGUCACAUGCUCCCCGGACGGCCAAGGGUCUCCCAGGCGGGAGGCAGAGGCCGAGGGAGGGUCAGCCUGAGAUGCUUGCACUCCUGGCCCCCAGUUCAUGUCAACCCAGAUAACGCAGCCACGGCUGGGGUGGGGGGUGGCAACUGGCAGAUGCUGUGCCGCCAGAAGGUGUUGCUGGCACCUCCGAUGGGGACCAGAUUACGCCCAGCAUCCAGGGAGAUUGGGAAACGUGCCUGAGAGGAACCAAGGAGGGUUGAAACAGCAGGGAGGGAAGCCCUGAGGCAUUCAGUUAUCUCAGAACGAAGCCAGUGUGAGGAGAGCAGAACUAGGAAAUGGAACAGGAAAGACUGAACCCUGGAUCCAGCUGCACCUGAAGCUCAUCUCCUGCACUCUUCUGAUAACAUAAGCAAAAAAAAAUCCCUUUGAGCUGUUUCUGUAAUCUGCCACCCAAAGAACUGAAUAAUUAUCUUCAGUCCUACACUCCAGCCCCACCAGCCUGGUUGCAAGUUCUCAGAACAGAUCAGACAGCCCCCACUUCCAGAUUGUUCCUCAAGCCAUAACCUCUGCCAGGAAUGCCAUCCCCACCUCAUGCCUCCUGUUGAAACCCUUCUCUACCCUCCAUUCAAAUGACAUCUACUUCAAGGAGCAUCCUCAUGUGAUAGUCACAUCACUUCCUCAUCACUCCCACACAGACUGAGCCGACUUUGCUUAUGGGCCCAGGUGGUGGUGCUGGGUCAGCACCCUUUUUGUGUGCAUUUGACCCUCUGGGCUGAGCCCAGCACCGUGCUGGGAGCAGGGUCUCAUUUCCCCUUGAGGUGGUAUCUUUGUUGUCUCCAUGCCACAGGGCAGCCUUGACUCAGAGAGGCUGAGAGCCGGGCUCCGGGUCCGAGGGGGGGUGGUCAGGCCCCAGAGCACCAGCCCUGGCCCGCUGUGCUGUGCUGGCCCCUGACUUGUUCACCUAUGGGGGUCUUUGUCCCCCUCUUACUGCGGGGGCCAGUGGGGACGAUGUCAGGGUACAGGAUGAAAGCUCCAGGGUCACUCUGCCUGGGUUCAGAUUCCGGCUGCACUCCCCAGCAGCUGUGUGACCUCAGGCAAGAACUCCUCUGGGGUCCACCUGUCUGUUUUUGUAUUAUUGUGGUAAAACACCCCUCUCACGAAAUGCACCAUCUUGACCAUUUGUAAGUGUCCAGUUCAGCGGCACUAAGUACACUGACAAUGUCGUGCGGCGGUCAUACCAUCCUUCCUCAGAACGCUUUCCUCUUACAAAGUUUACACUCAGUCCCCUUUAAACAAGACCCCCACCACCUCCUCCCCCAGCCCCCGGCCACCACCGUUCCACUCUCUGUCUCCGUGAGUUUAACUCCUCGAGAGGCUUCAUGUGAGUGGCAUCGUGCAAAGUUCGUCCUUUUGUGACUGGCUUAUUUCACUGCAUAUGGGGUCCUCAGAGUUCAUGCAUGUUGUGGCAGGUGUCAGAAUGUCCUUCCUUUUCCAGGCUGAAUAAUAUUCCACGGUCUGUACCCUACCUCAUCUUUCAACCGAGGCGAGAAUCUACCUCCACAGUAGGUAUCAGCCGUUGGUACAGGCCUCACGGCCAGCCCCGGGCCUCUGUAGUGGGGUGGGCAGGGACGAGGAGGCGGGCACCCUCUGCUGACCAUGCAGGUCCAUGCUGAAGCUCGCCGUCUCCACCCUCUGCCCUCUCGAGUGAUUGCCCACCUGGGAGAAAAAGAGAGGGAAGCGUUGGCAAUGUGUCCCCAAAUUCUCCGCCCGCCGUGAGAGAUGGGGGGCCCUGCAGUGAGAGAGCCUUCUCGACUCCAGCUCUCUCCUGUCUGGGGAGCACCCACUCUGAGCCAGGAGCUGUGCUGCGAGCCAUCACCCCCGCUCGCCAGCUCUCAUCCCAGCUGCCAAGCGAGUGCCAAUCAGUGGGAUGGCAGAGCACGCAAGCGGGAGAGAAAAGUGCCAACCUGAAAGCCCUUGGCUGAGCCCCCAGGGAAAAGGGGAUGCUGCAACUCGCCCCAGGGAUCCGCGAGGUGUCAGCGCUGUGGAGAAGGGAAAUGAAAUGCUCGGUGCCCGUUCAGGGGAGCUGCCGUGAAACCCCAGGAGGAGGGAACGCCGCCAACGGUGCUUCGGGCCCCAGCACGGCGUCACAGAGCGCUGCUUCUGGACGGCGCUGCCCCUCUGGGUUCUGAACCCCCCUGGGCAGCUGUGUGGGCUGAGCCAGGCCCAGGGCUGGGCACCCUGGAGGGGUGAGGAAGGAGAAGAGAGAGGGAGGUACCCUACACACCACCCUGAGCCUGUUGGCUGUGCUUGGGUUUACCAGGUGCCGCACGCUGGAUUCCCAUGAGAUUCUGCAGCCCGAGGACCUUCCAGAACAUUCUUUUCCUCCUUCAAAACUUCUGAGAUUAGAAUCUAAGUGAUUGCUGCCCAAACCCAGUUAGGAGGUGGGGCCGGUGAGGGACCGGCAGAUUCGGGGAGCUAUCGGGGUGAGAGGACGUCCCAGUGCUGCUUAAACGAGGACAAUGAUGGGGCUGGGGAGCUCCUGUCAAAAUGGCCCCCACGUAAAGGAACACGUCACCUACUGCCCUGGAAGAUGGGACUAUUGUCCCAGCUCUCGCUCCCUCCAGGUCCUGGAAUUCUACCUCCGCACCCUGGCCGUGUGACUGGGCCGUACCCUGCCCCACCCAGCUUGGGCCUGGCCUGCGACUCUCUUGGGGCAGCAGGAUGUGAGUGACGUGACGCGAGGUUUUAAAUGUGCUUGCGUCAUCCGGCUUAGUCCCCUGCGCUUCUGCCAUCAGCCAUGAGGAGACCCGCCCCAAGCAGCUACCAGUCCAAGGAGAGGGAGGAAGCCCUUGGAUCCCACCCGAACCCAACCCCCAGCCCGGGGCCACGGCUGAUCCAACCCAGCAGACGCAGAAGUGAGAAAGAUACACAUGAAUUCCUGCAGCCCACUGACUGCUGCUGCCUGGUCCUUGGCGUUUUGGCAGCGUCGCUGACUGCCACCCCACACGCGCAUAGACGUACCCAAACAGCGCACACGCAGGCUCAUCCACGUACACCCAUGUGUGUGUGCACAGGUCACAGACACAGCCGCCCCCACUUUCUGCGGUUUCGCUUUCCAUGGUUUCAGUUACCUGUGGUCAACCAUGGUCCAAAAACAUUACAUGGAAAAUUCUAGAAAUAAACAAG